AUGGGUCAGACCCCGUUUGGACCCUAUAUGGACCCUAUAUGGACCCCAUAUGGACCCCAGACCCCAUAUGGACCCCAUAUGGACCCCAGACCCCAUUUGGACCCCAUAUAUAGCCCUUAUGUACCUCAGACCCCAUCCAGACCCCAUUUAGACCCUAUAUAUACCCCAUACGUACCCCAUAUGUACCCCAGACCCCAUCCAGACCCCAUUUGGACCCUAUAUGGACCCCAUAUGGACCCCAGACCCCAUCCAGACCCCAUUUGGACCCUAUAUGUACCCCAUACGUAUCCCAUAUGUACCCCAUACGUACCCCAUAUGUACCCCGGACCCCAUCCAGACCCCAUUUGGACCCCAUAUAUAACCCUUAUGUACCCCAGACCCCAUCCAGACCCCAUUUGGACCCUAUAUAUACCCCAUACGUAUCCCAUAUGUACCCCAGACCCCAUUUGGACCCCAUAUGUACCCCAUAUGUGCCCCAUUCGGACCCCAUAUGUACCCCAGACCCCAUCCAGACCCCAUUUGGACCCCAUAUAUACCCCAUAUGUACCCCAGACCCCAUUUGGACCCCAUAUAUACCCCAUAUGUACCCCAGACCCCAUCCAGACCCCAUUUGGACCCUAUAUGUACCCCAUAUGUGCCCCAUUCGGACCCCAUAUGUACCCCAUAUGUACCUCGGACCCCAUCCAGACCCCAUUUGGACCCCAUAUAUACCCCUUAUGUACCCCAGACCCCAUCCAGACCCCAUUUGGACCCUAUAUGUACCCCAUACGUAUCCCAUAUGUACCCCAUCAUAUGGGGGGUACCCCAUUCUCCAUCCCCCAUCACACCCCAUCCACACCCCAUAUAUACCCCUUAUGUACCCCAUAUGUACCCCGGACCCCAUCCAGACCCCAUUUGGACCCCAUAUAUACCCCAUAUGUACCCCAGACUCCAUCCAGACCCCAUUUGGACCCCAUAUUUACCUCUUAUGUACCCCAUAUGUACCCCAUUCUCCAUCCCCCCCAUGCCCCAUCACACCCCAUAUGCACCUCAAGCCCCAUCCACACCCCAUAUAUACCCCAUAUGUACCCUAUAUGUACCCCAUAUGUACCCCAUUCCCCAUCCCUACCCCCCCAUACCCCAUCCACACCUCUUAUGUACCCCAUAUGUACCCCAUUCUCCAUCACUACCCCACCCCAUACCCCAUAUGCACCCCAUUUGCACCCCAUAUGUACCUCAUUCCCCAUCCCCACCCCAUAUAUAACUCUAUCCCCACCCCAUAUAUAA
This 1266-nucleotide long non-coding RNA is filed under the name Coturnix japonica (Japanese quail). RNAcentral's name for it is "lncRNA (ENSCJPG00005001990.1)". Lineage: Eukaryota; Metazoa; Chordata; Aves; Galliformes; Phasianidae. The record is from RNAcentral.